Camellia sinensis is the source of this 1386-nucleotide RNA transcript. It is a transcript of the gene named prohibitin-3, mitochondrial pseudogene, with no coding region annotated. NCBI's taxonomy places the organism in Eukaryota, Viridiplantae, Streptophyta, Magnoliopsida, Ericales, Theaceae. The record is from RefSeq and is a predicted model, not a curated record.
UCUUUAAAGCACCCACCAAGAUUGAAUUUGCUAAACAUGUACAAUACUCUUCUCUAAUUAAUUUGCUUUGCCUUUUCUUUUUGAAGCAAAGCCCUAGCUAAUUUGUUCCUAAACAAAGCCCUCUCUCUCUCUCACAAACCCUCAUCCCAUGGCUCCAAAAGCCUUAAUCUUCGACAUCCGAACUCACCCCCAUACCUUCUCCUCCAUCUUCGGCACCAAGGACCUCCAAAUGGUUAACCUAACCCUCCGUGUGCUCUCUCGCCCCGAGGUCUCUCAAUUCUCCCCAAAUCUUCCAAACCCUAGGCCUCGAAUAGGACGAGAAAGUCUUUCCUUCGAUCGGCAACGAAGUCCUCAAGGCUGUCCUCGCUCAAUUCAACGUCGAUCAGCUCUUCACUGAGCGUCCCAACGUCUCUGCAUUAUUCCGCGAGAGCUUGGUUCAUCAUGCUAAGGAUUUCAACAUCAUUCUCGAUGAUGUUGCGAUCACGCAUUUGUCGUAUGGGGCUGAGAUCUCUAAGGCCGUAGAGCAGAAGUAUGUAGAGUAACGGGAGACAGAGAGGUCGAAAUUUAUGGUAGCCAAAGUAGAGCAGGAAAUUGGGUUUGAUCGAGCGGCGAUUAUUAGGACGGAAGGUGUCAACGCAUCACUGAUGAAUUAAUGUCCUUAAAGCAUGCCGCUUGGGGCACUUCCAUUCGCAUCCACCUUCUUGGCUAUUGAAGAUUUUUAGAGAUGUAUUCAAAAGACACCCAUCAAAAUCAAAUGUAGCAAUUUUUUCUGAAUCACGAAAGCCAUUGUCCUAUGAAAAGCAAACAAAUCAACAACAUGCAAGCAACAUCAGAUCCCUCAUUAAUGCAGAACAUUACAAGUGUGAAUGUCAUCAACGUGUCAAUUGAGUAGUCACCAAUAUCAAUCAUAACGCAAAACUUGAAAUAGAGGUUCAAAGAGAAGGCCAGCACUAAAGAAAAUGUAUUCUCAUCAAAGUUCCUUCCCAUAAGCAUAAAGGUAUGAUACUGUUUGUGACCUUUGGUAAUGUGGGGACAUAUUUUUUGGGUAGUCCACGUGGCCGAGGUUAUUAGCCGAGGUGCUAUGUGGGUAGAUCAGGUCAGCCGAGAUGAUAACAGUCACGCCGAUGCACUAGCCAAUCUGGCCAGUGCAAUACAACCUGGAAAAGCAAGGACGAUAAUGGUCGAAUACUUGUCGGGCCCGAGCAUUGAACCAUCGAUCGCAGAACACGAAGCAAUGUGUGUGGAUAUGGGACCAAGCUGGAUAGAUGCAAUUGUGGCAUUCUUAAAGGAAGGAAAGCUGCCAGAUGACCACAAAGAGGCACACAAGAUCAUAUUGAAGUCGACGAGAUUCAGUCUGACAGUAGAAGGACAUCUCUACAAAAGAUC